Molecule: ribosomal RNA, 253 nt
Filed under: uncultured bacterium
Lineage: Bacteria
Description: partial 16S ribosomal RNA
Rfam family: Bacterial small subunit ribosomal RNA
Source: RNAcentral
UACAGAGGUCUCAAGCGUUGUUCGGAUUCAUUGGGCGUAAAGGGUGUGUAGGUGGCGCGCUAAGUCGGGUGUGAAAUUUCGGAGCUUAACUCCGAAACUGCAUUCGAUACUGGCGUGCUUGAGGACUGGAGAGGAGACUGGAAUUUACGGUGUAGCAGUGAAAUGCGUAGAUAUCGUAAGGAAGACCAGUGGCAAAGGCGGGUCUCUGGACAGUUCCUGACACUGAGACACGAAGGCCAGGGGAGCAAACGGG